Molecule: long non-coding RNA, 380 nt
Filed under: Homo sapiens (human)
Lineage: Eukaryota; Metazoa; Chordata; Mammalia; Primates; Hominidae
Description: HSALNT0384920
Source: RNAcentral
AGCAAUUCUCCUACCUCAGCCUCCCGAGUAGCUGGGAUUACAGGUGCUGCCAUGGCCACGACUGAUGUUACACUCGAGCUGAGGAGGCCGGCUGCAGCCCCAAGACAGAGCGCUACUCCUGGCAGUGCGUCAAUCAGAGCGUCCUGUGCGGUUACCAUGCCAGCAAUGAUUCCUUUUGAGUUUCUGACAGAAGAUAGUGGUUUUCAUCCAAAUAAGUCAACUACUCUACCCCAUCCCUAAGCCACUUGUAUGGAAAGAAAAAGAGGAAGAAGCCAGUACUGUGACUGCGUAAGCUUCCCCCAGCAUCACCGGCUAUGAGAUGUGUGGCAGCUGAGACCCGGGAACUGCUCAAGGGCACCAGGCCCCAUCUGUCUGCACUC